RNAcentral lists this transfer RNA (71 nucleotides) under Stegodyphus dumicola. Its description in RNAcentral is "tRNA-Met". It matches the Rfam family "tRNA". From Rfam's summary of the family: Transfer RNA (tRNA) molecules are approximately 80 nucleotides in length. The record is from RNAcentral. Lineage: Eukaryota; Metazoa; Arthropoda; Arachnida; Araneae; Eresidae.
GCCUUCGUGGUGUAAUGGUAGCACACUCGGCGCAUAUUCGAGAGGUCCAGGUUCGAGUCCCGGCGAGGGCA